Molecule: long non-coding RNA, 776 nt
Organism: Capsicum annuum
Lineage: Eukaryota; Viridiplantae; Streptophyta; Magnoliopsida; Solanales; Solanaceae
Exons: 3
Source: RefSeq, a predicted model, not a curated record
UUUCUAUCGGACCCAAUACACCAACCAGCCAGCUCCAAAACCUGGCCAACACCUAACAUCUACGACCCAACUCCAAUAACAGCAAAACAACGGCAACAAUAGAGCAGCAACGACAACAAAAACUUCAACCUGACUUUAAAAAUUUUGACUCACAAAUCAUCGGCCAGAACCAAUUCUAGCUCAGUAGCCAACGUCUAAAAUUUCCAUUCAUACCAUAUCGUACAAUUACAAUUCACAUAACUCAUUCUUAUCCCCAAUUUGAAUUUUUCUUCAGAAAAAUACCCCAAAACACCCUAAAAAAAUCCUUCAGUACCACAUGGAUUCUUCCUCCAAAGUUCCAUUUUGAAAAUCCCUUUAAAUACUUCUUCAAUUCCAUUAUUUAAGGGGUUGGAAAGCUUGGAUAGCGGGAACACCAAAAAGCAAGAGAUUUUGCUAUCAGAAGAAGGAUUUUGGUGUCAAGAAAUUCGAUAAGACUCAUUUGAGCUUAAAUUCCUAGGCUAAGAAUUCGAGUUUGUUUUCCGAUGGUGGCUAGAAUUUUGAUGAGCUCAAAGUUUCAGUUUGCUGCUCCAACAGAGACUUGUGCUAGUGGUUGAUGGUGCUCAUUUAAGCGGAUCAUACAGAGAAACUUUUCUUUCAGCAAACACACUUGAUGGUGCAGGUUCAGACGCAGGGCUCCUGACUGUACUUAGCAGCUUGGAUUAUCAGCACCAGAUUUAGUGGUAAGUCCUUAUAGUUUGAGGAUAAUGUUAUCUUUCAGUAUUUCAGUAGCUCAGCAC